RNAcentral lists this ribosomal RNA (484 nucleotides) under uncultured bacterium. Its description in RNAcentral is "partial 16S ribosomal RNA". It matches the Rfam family "Bacterial small subunit ribosomal RNA", at positions 30 to 507 of the family's 1533-position model. The record is from RNAcentral.
AUUGAACGCUGGCGGCAGGCCUAACACAUGCAAGUCGAGCGGAUGAAGGGAGCUUGCUCCUGGAUUCAGCGGCGGACGGGUGAGUAAUGCCUAGGAAUCUGCCUGGUAGUGGGGGAUAACGCCCGGAAACGGGCGCUAAUACCGCAUACGUCCUGAGGGAGAAAGUGGGGGAUCUUCGGACCUCACGCUAUCAGAUGAGCCUAGGUCGGAUUAGCUAGUUGGUGGGGUAAAGACCUACCAAGGCGACGAUCCGUAACUGGUCUGAGAGGAUGAUCAGUCACACUGGAACUGAGACACGGUCCAGACUCCUACGGGAGGCAGCAGUGGGGAAUAUUGGACAAUGGGCGAAAGCCUGAUCCAGCCAUGCCGCGUGUGUGAAGAAGGUCUUCGGAUUGUAAAGCACUUUAAGUUGGGAGGAAGGGUAGUAAGUUAAUACCUUGCUGUUUUGACGUUACCAACAGAAUAAGCACCGGCUAACUUCGUG